ACAAGAAGGUGGUGGUGGGGGGGGGGGCAGUCAGGGCAGGAGUGUGGCUGCCUCAGAGUAUCUGGGCCUCCUUCUGUCUGUCUGUGUCGGCUUCUGCACGUUCCCCCUCAGACUGGCAGUUGACAAUGUCUUUUACAGCAACGCAAAUCCGGUAUCCUACCGGGUCGAGGCCGAGCGGUCAUUAAGUGGCCGCCUCGGGGAACUGGGUGCAGCACUGUCAUCCAACUGGAGCCUCGCUGUCAAGCAGGCCCAAGGCCAGCCACAAAGGCGCGGUUGUUUCACGGCCCAGACUCCACCGCAGGGAGGGACGGAGGUGCCCUUGGAAACCCCAGCCUUGGCUCUGCGGAGCUCAGCGUUUGGCCUUCAUUGAACUAUUGUUGCUUAAUCCUGGCUGCUCAGGAAGGUCACCCGGGGUGUUAACAACUGUAUGCAGGUGUGGUGACCUAACAGCAUCCCAGAGAUGGUCCCGUUCCACCCCUGGGGACUGCUGCCUUGCCUGUGAUUAAGCCCCCUCCUUACUGGCAGCAGGAGGCCUUGAUGGGUUGGGUCAUCAUCACCUGGCAUGUCACUAGGAGGCAUUUCCUAAGUUUCCUUCCAUCAUGGGAUGGAGAGGCACCUGAUUCUGAUCCCUUCUGUAUUUCUCC
This is a long non-coding RNA of Canis lupus familiaris (dog), 644 nucleotides long. RefSeq lists it as uncharacterized. The record is from RefSeq and is a predicted model, not a curated record. The transcript has 3 exons. NCBI's taxonomy places the organism in Eukaryota, Metazoa, Chordata, Mammalia, Carnivora, Canidae.